RNAcentral lists this transfer RNA (73 nucleotides) under Saprospiraceae bacterium. RNAcentral describes it as "tRNA-Trp". It matches the Rfam family "tRNA". From Rfam's summary of the family: Transfer RNA (tRNA) molecules are approximately 80 nucleotides in length. Their secondary structure includes four short double-helical elements and three loops (D, anti-codon, and T loops). Lineage: Bacteria; Pseudomonadati; Bacteroidota; Saprospiria; Saprospirales; Saprospiraceae. The record is from RNAcentral.
GCGGACAUAGCUCAACUGGUAGAGUGGCGGUCUCCAAAACCGUAGGCUGAGGGUUCGAGUCCUUCUGUCCGCG